AGUGAACGCUGGCGGUAGGCCUAACACAUGCAAGUCGAACGGCAGCACAGUAAGAGCUUGCUCUUACGGGUGGCGAGUGGCGGACGGGUGAGGAAUACAUCGGAAUCUACUUUUUCGUGGGGGAUAACGUAGGGAAACUUACGCUAAUACCGCAUACGACCUACGGGUGAAAGCAGGGGAUCUUCGGACCUUGCGCGAUUGAAUGAGCCGAUGUCGGAUUAGCUCGUUGGCGGGGUAAAGGCCCACCAAGGCGACGAUCCGUAGCUGGUCUGAGAGGAUGAUAAGCCACACUGGAACUGAGACACGGUCCAGACUCCUACGGGAGGCAGCAGUGGGGAAUAUUGGACAAUGGGCGCAAGCCUGAUCCAGCCAUACCGCGUGGGUGAAGAAGGCCUUCGGGUUGUAAAGCCCUUUUGUUGGGAAAGAAAAGCAGCAGGUUAAUACCCCGCUGUUCUGACGGUACCCAAAGAAUAAGCACCGGCUAACUUCGUG
This 492-nucleotide ribosomal RNA is filed under the name uncultured bacterium. RNAcentral's name for it is "partial 16S ribosomal RNA". It matches the Rfam family "Bacterial small subunit ribosomal RNA", at positions 29 to 507 of the family's 1533-position model. The record is from RNAcentral.